UACGUAGGGUGCAAGCGUUAUCCGGAAUUAUUGGGCGUAAAGAGCUCGUAGGCGGUUCGGUAAGUCGGAUGUGAAAUCUCCAGGCUCAACCUGGAGGGGUCAUUCGAUACUGCCGUGACUAGAGUUCGGUAGGGGAGUGUGGAAUUCCUGGUGGAGCGGUGAAAUGCGCAGAUAUCAGGAGGAACACCCGUAGCGAAGGCGGCACCCUGGGCCGAUACUGACACUGAGGAGCGAAAGCGUGGGGAGCGAACAGG
This 254-nucleotide ribosomal RNA is filed under the name uncultured bacterium. Its description in RNAcentral is "partial 16S ribosomal RNA". It matches the Rfam family "Bacterial small subunit ribosomal RNA", at positions 524 to 776 of the family's 1533-position model. The record is from RNAcentral.